This 427-nucleotide ribosomal RNA is filed under the name uncultured bacterium. RNAcentral's name for it is "bacterial SSU rRNA". It matches the Rfam family "Bacterial small subunit ribosomal RNA", at positions 355 to 774 of the family's 1533-position model. The record is from RNAcentral.
UGGGGAAUUUUGGACAAUGGACGCAAGUCUGAUCCAGCCAUGCCGCGUGCGGGAAGAAGGCCUUCGGGUUGUAAACCGCUUUUGUCAGGGAAGAAACGAGUUUCUCUAAUACAGAGACUUAAUGACGGUACCUGAAGAAGAAGCACCGGCUAACUACGUGCCAGCAGCCGCGGUAAUACGUAGGGUGCGAGCGUUAAUCGGAAUUACUGGGCGUAAAGCGUGCGCAGGCGGUUAUGUAAGACAGAUGUGAAAUCCCCGGGCUCAACCUGGGAACUGCAUUUGUGACUGUAUAGCUAGAGUACGGCAGAGGGGGAUGGAAUUCCGCGUGUAGCAGUGAAAUGCGUAGAUAUGCGGAGGAACACCGAUGGCGAAGGCAAUCCCCUGGGCCUGUACUGACGCUCAUGCACGAAAGCGUGGAGAGCAAACA